GAUGAACGCUGGCGGCGUGCUUAACACAUGCAAGUCGAACGAUGAAGCCCAGCUUGCUGGGUGGAUUAGUGGCGAACGGGUGAGUAACACGUGAGUAGCCUGCCCUUAACUCUGGGAUAAGCCUGUGAAACUGGGUCUAAUACCGGAUAGGAGCGUCCACCGCAUGGUGGGUGUUGUAGAGAUUGAUCGGUUUUGGAUGGACUCGCGGCCUAUCAGCUUGUUGUUGAGGUGAUGGCUAACCAAGGCGACGACGGGUAGCCGGCCUGAGAGGGUGACAGGCCACACUGGGACUGAGACACGGCCGCGACUCCUACGGGAGGCAGCAGUGCGGAAUACUGCACAAUGGGCGCAAGCCUGAUGCAGCGACGCCGCGUGAGGGAUGACGGCCUUAGGGUUGUAAAACUAUUUCAGUAGGGAAGAAGCGCAAGUGACGGUAACUGCAGCAGAAGCCCCGGCUAACUACGUG
RNAcentral lists this ribosomal RNA (466 nucleotides) under uncultured bacterium. RNAcentral's name for it is "partial 16S ribosomal RNA". It matches the Rfam family "Bacterial small subunit ribosomal RNA", at positions 28 to 507 of the family's 1533-position model. The record is from RNAcentral.